RNAcentral lists this ribosomal RNA (253 nucleotides) under uncultured bacterium. RNAcentral's name for it is "partial 16S ribosomal RNA". It matches the Rfam family "Bacterial small subunit ribosomal RNA", at positions 524 to 776 of the family's 1533-position model. The record is from RNAcentral.
UACAGAGGGUGCGAGCGUUGCUCGGAAUCACUGGGCGUAAAGGGCGCGUAGGCGGCGUUUUAAGUCGGGGGUGAAAGCCUGUGGCUCAACCACAGAAUGGCCUUCGAUACUGGGACGCUUGAGUAUGGUAGAGGUUGGUGGAACUGCGAGUGUAGAGGUGAAAUUCGUAGAUAUUGGGAAGAACACCGGUGGCGAAGGCGGCUCACUGGACCGAGACUGACGCUGAGGCGCGAAAGCGUGGGGAGCAAACAGG